This 218-nucleotide ribosomal RNA is filed under the name uncultured bacterium. Its description in RNAcentral is "partial 16S ribosomal RNA". It matches the Rfam family "Bacterial small subunit ribosomal RNA", at positions 1285 to 1500 of the family's 1533-position model. The record is from RNAcentral.
AUCUCAGUUCGGAUUGUAGGCNGCAACUCGCCUACAUGAAGUUGGAAUCGCUAGUAAUCGCGAAUCAGAAUGUCGCGGUGAAUACGUUCCCGGGUCUUGUACACACCGCCCGUCACACCACGAGAGUUUACAACACCCGAAGUCAGUGGCCUAACCGCAAGGAGGGAGCUGCCUAAGGUGGGGGUAGAUGAUUGGGGGUGAAGUCGUAACAAGGUAGC